AUAUUUUAUGCAAAUUAAAAUUGAAUUCUUUGCUUAGUUUAAGCAAUUUCCCUGUAAGGAGUGUGUCGAGGAGAGAGAUUACAACAUUUGCCUGGUUUGUUUAUAAUUUAAUUUUUUUUUUUAUGUUGCGGCUGGCAGAGGAGGAGAUGCAACACCUGUGAGUGUUUAUAACGUCCCAUCUCCUUCACAGCUGCUCCUAUUCAAAACACCUCGCCGGCGUAAUAAUUUCAUAAAAUUUCAUGAUUUACCAUCUGCUCGUGCCGGUUUGGGCUUCGGCAAUAAGCUCGUGCGUGGCGCCCGGCCCAGAAAGGUACAAUAACUGUAUAUUUUAACUUAAUGGUUUUUUGGGGGGCAUGCAAAUUUCUGUGAGCAGAUUGUGCUGAGGCCUGGGCUUGGAGCGGCCUCCCUGAGCCCCAGAAGCCCCCCGGAGCACCCCCGGCUCAGUGAAGGUUGCCCGUGUCAAAAUCGAGAUAUCAAACACCAAGGCUGAAAGACAAGCCAUGAGGCAAGUCGUGACCAUGGGCUCUCCCUGGUUAAUUAUUCAGCCAAGGGCUGCCACCGUCACCAACACUGAACAGAAGCCAUGGCCAGAGAGGUGUCUUUGGAGAGAUGGACUUGGUGGUCUGAAGAUCCCUGAGCCGUGCAAUCUCUUACACACCUCAGUGGCUCUUCUCCUUCAUCCCAGCAUCCUUGAUGGUCCAAGUGGCUUGCAUACUGGGCUUCUGCCGUAGAACAAGGGAUUGCUCCGUGCAGCUUCUGGUUUGUGAACUGACAAGGACAGAACGCCUUCAGCCAGGUUUACAAAGCAUGUUGUUGCAGUGAAUGUUGCAGAAGCUGGUGGCUGAGAAUGGCUGGACUCUGUCUUCUCACAGUUCUGGGGUCCAGAAGUCUGCAGCGAAGGCUCCGGGCUGCUUCCCUCCUGCCUCUCCAUCUCCACACGAGGCCAGUGAUCUUCCGUACCUCAGCCGGGCUUGUGGCUGCACCCCUCCACUGUGCCUCUGAAGUCGGGUGGUCUCCUCGUCCCUUCUCCCCUUGUAAGACACUAGUGCAGCUGGAUGAAGGACCACCCACUCUGGGCAGUCAGCGGAGGUUGGAGACCACCUAGGAGAGAAUGGAGGACAAGAGACUCGAAGAAGGAUGCCAAGACAUGAGUCUG
Molecule: small RNA, 1156 nt
Filed under: Rattus norvegicus (Norway rat)
Lineage: Eukaryota; Metazoa; Chordata; Mammalia; Rodentia; Muridae
Description: uncharacterized LOC108350352
Source: RNAcentral